Molecule: long non-coding RNA, 1964 nt
Organism: Leptidea sinapis
Lineage: Eukaryota; Metazoa; Arthropoda; Insecta; Lepidoptera; Pieridae
Exons: 3
Source: RefSeq, a predicted model, not a curated record
UGAUAGAUCAAGGCCAUUUAAGUCCAACCAAGUUUUUAAAUUUAUCAGCGGUUGUGUUAUAGAAGAACUAGCUUUUUCAAUAGAAAUAUCACGACAGUAAAUUAAUAGAUCAUCAGCAUACUGAAGAACAUUUACACAAUUAAGUGAUGAUUUUAAAUCGUGUGUAUAAAUAUUAUACAAUAUUGGGCUAAGUACUGAUCCCUGGGGGAGGCCCUUUGAAACAAGUCGAGUAAUUGACUUCCUGUCAUCUAGUUUCAGGAUUAUGUAUCUUUCGGAAAGCAUGUAUAUGAUAAAAUUUGUUAAUAGCAGAGGUAUAUUAAGUUGUAAAAGCUUACUCUUUAAAAUACUUAUAACGACAUUAUCAUAGGCACAAUUUAUAUCUAAGAACGCAGCUAUUACUGAUUUAUUAUUUGAAAAUGAUAAUUGAAUAUCAGAAAUGAAUAUACUUAAGCUAUCAAUAGUACUUUUCCCACGUCUGAAACCGAAUUGGGAUUCACAUAAUAGACCGUUAUGCUCAACAAACCAUUCUAAACGAUUUUUUAUAAGAUGUUCUGUAAUUUUCAUCAAAACAGAAGAAAGUGCGAUUGGGCGAUAGGCAGAAUGGUCUGAAGAACACCUAUUAGGUUUCAGUACGGGAAUUAUUUCUUGACGUUUCCACGUGAAGGGGAUGUUACCAGAUGUCACUAUGGAAUUUAUAAGAGAUAAAUAAUAAAAUAAAGCAUCAUCAUCUAAAUGAGAGAUAAAGGAAUACGGAAUACCGUCCAGUCCAGGAGCAGAAUCCUUAACAUGAGACAAUACACCUUUUAGUUCAGUGAGAGAAAAUAUACUGUUUAAACCAAAACAGUUAUCAUUAUUUAUAUUUAUUACAGGGUAACCAAUUAUUAAGUCUUCAGGAACGAAAGGUGGAGCCAAUUUAUCUAAAAAGCUAUUAACUAAAUGAAAAGGGAUUGAUUUUGGAGAUGAAUCUUUGUAUGCAGAUCUAAACCUUCUUAUAUUUUGCCAUACAAGAGAUGGUUUGACAUCAGCAUAUUUUCUUCUCUUUACUGCCUCUGUACAUUCGUUAUCCCACCAAGGAGGAGAAGGAAUAAAACCCAAAGAGCUAUUUUUACUUGGAAAUAUCUCAUUGGCAACCUCAAUAAAGAUUCUUGCUAAAGAAUCUGCACACUGAGAUUCUGUACCUGGAUUAAUUUUUGGAAGUGUUGGAAAUGAUAAUAAUAGUGGGAAGUGAUCACUACCAAAAGUAGAUCGUAAUGGAUCCCAGGACAAAGAAGAAGCAAGAUUAGGUGUAGUGACUGUUAAAUCUGGAGCACUUGGGCCCUCGUCAGGAUGAGAACGUCGUGUAGGACGACCAUCAUUUAAUAUACACAAAUUCACUGAAUCAAAUAUAUCUAUUAAUGUGUUACCAUAACUAUUAGAAGAUAAGUAACCCCAGGAUUCAUGGCGACAGUUAAAAUCACCAAGGAUCAUAAAAGGCUUCGGAAGAAUGGAAAUAAUAUCUUUAAUUUCAUUUAAGAUUGCAGAAGAAGGAUGAGGUAUAUAAAUAGAUACAUAACAGAUAUUUUCAACUAAAGCAGCAAUAAUAGAAAAAUCAUUACUGUGAGAAGGAAUAGAGAAGAGAGAAAAGGAAAGAGGGUGUUUCACAAGCAUGGCUACUCCGCCAUGCCCAUCCACACGAUCUUCUCUGAGACAUGAAUAACCUCGAAUCUUAAAUAAAGAUCCUGGUUUCAACCAUGUCUCUUGAAGAGCACAGAUAUAAGGUUUAUAUUUAUUUAAUAAAUAAAUAAGAUCACUUUUUUUAGGAGUGAUGCUUUGACAAUUCCAUUGAAGAACUUUGUCCAUUAUUUGGUUUAUAAAUUUGAGUAAUUGCAGAAACUAAUAAGGCAGCGUUGGACGGUGAAAAUUCAUUCGAUUGACUAAGAGAUUUUAUAAGAGAAAUAAUUAAAUCAAUUACUGAGGAUUCCAAA